This 523-nucleotide ribosomal RNA is filed under the name uncultured bacterium. Its description in RNAcentral is "bacterial SSU rRNA". It matches the Rfam family "Bacterial small subunit ribosomal RNA", at positions 8 to 524 of the family's 1533-position model. The record is from RNAcentral.
AGAGUUUGAUCAUGGCUCAGAUUGAACGCUGGCGGAAUGCUUUACACAUGCAAGUCGAACGGCAGCAUAGGUGCUUGCACCUGAUGGCGAGUGGCGAACGGGUGAGUAAUACAUCGGAACGUGCCCAGUCGUGGGGGAUAACGUAGCGAAAGUUACGCUAAUACCGCAUACGAUCUACGGAUGAAAGCGGGGGACCGUAAGGCCUCGCGCGAUUGGAGCGGCCGAUGUUAGAUUAGGUAGUUGGUGGGGUAAAGGCUCACCAAGCCGACGAUCUAUAGCUGGUCUGAGAGGAUGAUCAGCCACACUGGGACUGAGACACGGCCCAGACUCCUACGGGAGGCAGCAGUGGGGAAUUUUGGACAAUGGGCGCAAGCCUGAUCCAGCCAUUCCGCGUGCAGGACGAAGGCCUUCGGGUUGUAAACUGCUUUUGUACAGAACGAAAAGCUCUGGGUUAAUACCUCGGGGUCAUGACGGUACUGUAAGAAUAAGCACCGGCUAACUACGUACCAGCAGCCGCGGUAAU